RNAcentral lists this ribosomal RNA (466 nucleotides) under uncultured bacterium. RNAcentral's name for it is "partial 16S ribosomal RNA". It matches the Rfam family "Bacterial small subunit ribosomal RNA", at positions 28 to 507 of the family's 1533-position model. The record is from RNAcentral.
GACGAACGCUGGCGGUGUGCUUAACACAUGCAAGUCGAACGGUAAGGCCCUUUCGGGGGUACACGAGUGGCGAACGGGUGAGUAACACGUGAGUAACCUGCCCUCAUCUCUGGGAUAACAGUCGGAAACGGUUGCUAAUACUGGAUAUGAGCUUGCAAGGCAUCUUGUGGGUUGGAAAGAUUUUUUUGGUUGGGGAUGGACUCGCGGCCUAUCAGCUUGUUGGUGAGGUAGUGGCUCACCAAGGCUUCGACGGGUAGCCGGCCUGAGAGGGCGACCGGCCACAUUGGGACUGAGAUACGGCCCAAACUCCUACGGGAGGCAGCAGUGGGGAAUAUUGCACAAUGGACGGAAGUCUGAUGCAGCAACGCCGCGUGCGGGAUGACGGCCUUCGGGUUGUAAACCGCUUUCAAUUGUGACGAAGCUUCUUGUGACGGUAGCAGUAGAAGAAGCACCGGCUAACUACGUG